GCCCGGGUGGCGGAACCGGUAGACGCAGGCGGCUUAAACCCGCCGAUCCUCCUCGGAGGGUGUGGGGGUUCGACUCCCUCCCCGGGCA
Molecule: transfer RNA, 88 nt
Filed under: Acidimicrobiia bacterium
Lineage: Bacteria; Bacillati; Actinomycetota; Acidimicrobiia
Description: tRNA-Leu
Rfam family: tRNA
About the family: Transfer RNA (tRNA) molecules are approximately 80 nucleotides in length.
Source: RNAcentral